GGGCAAUUAGCUCAGUGGUAGAGCAUCUCGUUGACGUCGAGAGGGUCGCAGGUUCAAGUCCUGCAUUGCCCA
Molecule: transfer RNA, 72 nt
Filed under: Patescibacteria group bacterium
Lineage: Bacteria
Description: tRNA-Val
Rfam family: tRNA
About the family: Transfer RNA (tRNA) molecules are approximately 80 nucleotides in length. Their secondary structure includes four short double-helical elements and three loops (D, anti-codon, and T loops).
Source: RNAcentral